Molecule: non-coding RNA, 2917 nt
Organism: Meleagris gallopavo (turkey)
Lineage: Eukaryota; Metazoa; Chordata; Aves; Galliformes; Phasianidae
Source: RefSeq, a predicted model, not a curated record
GCGGCCGCGCGGACGGCGUGCCGGCGCUGACGUCACUCCGUUGGUUUCCAAUAUGUCAUUCAUAUUCCUCAGACCUGCGUUCGCAUUCGAGUAGUAAAAGCAGUUCCGUUACCAAAACGGAGACGAGUCACGUGGUGCCCAAACGCAUCUCAGCUGCCUCAUUCCUGCCCCCCGCAGCGCUCGCCUGUGAAAGGCAGGCCGGCUGCACGUGCCCGGCCGGUGCUAAGCCUGGUGGUUUGGUGCAGUGCACGGUGCGAGCUCCAGUUCACCGGAACGCAUCCCCACGUGGCCCUGUUAAGGUGAAAGCGGCGGUGUGCUGGGUUUUGUCACCGGAUCGCCACCAGCUGACUAAAAUAAUUGCACAAUAAUUGUAAGGCACAUUUCCUAAGCAGAGAAGCUUUAGCCUCUCAGUGUGACAAACCAUGAAUGCCACGAGGAAACUGGAGAUCAAAGGAGAACAUGGAUGCCAAACAAAACCAGAGCUAUGCAUUUUCCUUAAAUUGGUAACAAAACCAGAUGGGCACGGAAAGACCAGAGACCUCAGGGGCGGAAGUUUCCAAGGACAAUGCAAGCUCCACAACUGUCACAAGGCCGCAGUAGUCCUCUUGGUGACUUUGGCAGGUUGAACUGCCUCACCAGAGAUGCACAGCUGCCACUCCAUGGUCAUAAUGAAGGAGGCUGCGGCUGUUUGCAUGUAUGCUCACCUCACAUAAAGCCAACAGGAGCACAUGGCUGCUCCUCAAAACCACCCCAACACAUGCUCCACGCAGCCCACAGCACAGCCUGUGCUUGCAGGAGUCCACCCAGCCCCGUCAAAGGGAAGCAGCGCAGCCACAGCACAUUCCACUUCAUACCAAGUCACUUUUAAUUCAGUUACAGUCUUCCAUUACCGAGGAAAUAAAUGUGGGAGGAAACAAAGGACAGACACAGAGAAGCAAAACAGGGGUAGCAAGUAGGAGAUAUAUGCUUACUGCAUCGCGCUUGGCUCCAUGGGGCUUUAGAAGGGCUGUCAUAUAUCAUGACAUUUAUCAUUUCUUGCAUGUACUACGAUGAGAAGUCCAUUACAAUAUCGAUCAUUUUAUUCUGCUCAACUCUAUGACAUCUAAUAUUCAGCAUAGCUGAAAAAGCUUACAAGUGAUUUAGAAAUAGCUGCACUGGGAAAACUGAGGAAGAAAUCGGAGUCAACAUGGUUUCCCUUAAUGGAAUUCUCUUUCUAGUAAGCUUUUACAAAACUUAGGAAAUUGCAUUUCAAACAUGGUUAAAGCUACAGCAUGGUUGCAGCCAAGCUAUCAGAAGUUACAGACAUAAUAAAGAUUUCCUAUGCAAUCUUAAUUUUCACACUGACAUGAUGAUACAACCUUCAGCUGUGUUGCUGUCAUGUACCCGUCCACAAUUCCUGCCCCAGAGAACUCCAGGAGAAACUCUUUAAAGGCACCAGAGCACUUACACUUCCUUGACGUCAGAAAUAACACCUACAGACCUGAAAGUACACUUGUUUCCAUUGAACCUAGAGCAACUGCAGUGAGCAGGCUGGGGGACCCAGGUGAUGCCAGCUCUUGUCACCAGGACACUGCUAGCAAUACCUGGUGGAAUCCCAGCAUCACAGCUGCAGGGACUGAGAUGUUCUGCAGCCACAGAUCCUCUCAGCCUCACCUCCUUAUUGCAGGCUUUGGAUCCACUGAUCCUGCCAUGGGUGGCACUAGGAGUUUUCUUCAUUCUCCUUUAGUAUACAGUCUGUUCCAUCCAGGCCUCGCCUGCAGCACAUUAUUUACGCAGAGCAGCCCAAGGCCUGCAUCAGAAGGUCCUUCAGCACUGGAGAAAGCUGUGUGCUGGAGGGAAGCCAAGGGAGGCUGACGACCAAGCCUGCAUGCUAAUGGCAGCAUCUGCCGCUGCUGCUCUAACUCUUCUGAAGCCUCACAUUUCGCUUCCAAGGGAUCCAUUGUUUGUUAGGGCCCCAUUUCAGAGAUCCAACUCUAAAAUGGAGGAAUGACCAACAAGGAAGGCAAUCAGGUGUCACAAAAUUACACAGAUAGAUUACACCUGGCAUUAGCAUCACAAGAGUAACAUCUGAGCUCAUCUAAAGUUUCUCCUUAUUUCUUUAUUAAAUACCCUAAGAGCUGUACCAAUGUGUACAGAGCCUAAACAUUUGGUAUGAAUGAGCCUUGAGCAUGAAAUAACUAGCUCAAAGUCAGUCCCUUUAUAUUAAAAAGGAAUUUAAACCGUAUGGUGAGUUUUUGUGCAUGCAGAUGAGGUUCAGACAUGGCUCUGCUCGUGCCCGGAUGUGUUGUAUGUGCCUAGAUCUCAGCUGGUUGUUUGCAGUGCAAGGUAGUAGAAGCUGGCUUCUUGCAGCAACUUGGAUCAUACCAACAAUUUACAGACCAUCGUACAUACUAGGGUGAGGGCCUCAGUGUCACAGGAGCUAGAUGCUGAGUAUGUGGGCCAACAUGCGGAUACUCUGGGGAAAGAGGGAGGAAGGAAAGCCAGGGUUUAAGGAAGAUGCUUCUUCCAUUGAGUUAUAUGGCCCUGAUGCAGGGAUGAGCAGAAAGAGCUGUCUCCUUCCUUACCUGCCUUCAUAUGGGAUAUGAGUCAGAGCCACACCUUGAAAGAGAGCGAGGACAAUCUGUGUACCAGCUACAAUUCAAAGACAUACAGUAUCCAUUCCAAAUUUUUUUGCCUGCCUUGCCAAUAUUUAGGCCAGUCCUUACCAAAUCAGGGUCACUAGUCCUUGAAUAGGGUACGAACUGAGUUCUAGCAAGUCAGUAUAUGGUGCACUUUGUACUGCUUUGCAGCAACUUUUUUGAUCCAAGAUCCUAUCAGCACUCCCAGUUGCUGGCAUGUCUUAUGCACAGAUUGCACCUCCACCUGCUCUGCCUUCUGGAUCAUUUGCCAAAAAAAAAAAAAAAAGUGUCUAAAAGCC